This 437-nucleotide ribosomal RNA is filed under the name uncultured Oscillospiraceae bacterium. Its description in RNAcentral is "bacterial SSU rRNA". It matches the Rfam family "Bacterial small subunit ribosomal RNA", at positions 341 to 792 of the family's 1533-position model. The record is from RNAcentral. Lineage: Bacteria; Bacillati; Bacillota; Clostridia; Eubacteriales; Oscillospiraceae.
ACGGAAGGCAGCAGUGGGGGAUAUUGGGCAAUGGGGGAAACCCUGACCCAGCAACGCCGCGUGAAGGAAGAAGGCUUUCGGGUUGUAAACUUCUUUUACCAGGGACGAAGGACGUGACGGUACCUGGAGAAAAAGCCACGGCUAACUACGUGCCAGCAGCCGCGGUAAUACGUAGGUGGCAAGCGUUGUCCGGAUUUACUAGGUGUAAAGGGCGUGUAGGCGGAGAUGCAAGUCAGAAGUGAAAUCUAGGGGCUCAACCCCUAAACUGCUUUUGAAACUGUAUCCCUUGAGUAUCGGAGAGGCAGGCGGAAUUCCCAGUGUAGCGGUGAAAUGCGUAGGUAUCAGGAGGAACACCGGUGGCGAAGGCGGCCUGCUGGACUGUAACUGACGCUGAGGCUCGAAAGCGUGGGGAGCAAACAGGAUUAGAUACCCUGGUA